This 374-nucleotide ribosomal RNA is filed under the name Cryomorphaceae bacterium. RNAcentral's name for it is "bacterial LSU rRNA". It matches the Rfam family "Bacterial large subunit ribosomal RNA", at positions 2538 to 2925 of the family's 2925-position model. Lineage: Bacteria; Pseudomonadati; Bacteroidota; Flavobacteriia; Flavobacteriales; Cryomorphaceae. The record is from RNAcentral.
CGUCACAUCCUGGGGCUGGAGAAGGUCCCAAGGGUUGGGCUGUUCGCCCAUUAAAGUGGCACGCGAGCUGGGUUCAGAACGUCGCGAGACAGUUCGGUCUCUAUCUACUAUGGGCGUUAGAAAUUUGAGGAGAGCUGACAUUAGUACGAGAGGACCAUGUCGGACGCACCUCUAGUGUACCUGUUAUGGCGCCAGCUGUAUCGCAGGGUAGCUACGUGCGGUUGGGAUAAGUACUGAAAGCAUAUAAGUACGAAGCCCACUUCAAGAUGAGAUUUCUCUUAAGGGUCGUUCAAGAUGAGGACGUUGAUAGGCUACAGGUGUAAAGGCAGUAAUGUCAUAGCUGAGUAGUACUAAUUACCCGUGGAUUUUUUAUC